CAGGUUCAGCCCUGAGGUUCAGGCAUUAUAAUCAAUAAACUUUUUAUUUCAUUAGAAAGUAUUGGUGCUAUGAAAAAACAAAAAUUUUUCAAAGGACCUUGGAAAUAUAAAAAUAAAAAUGAACGUUUUAAGUAUGCUAAUGAUUUAUGGACAAAAAAAGCAAAAAGAAAAUUCCAACAGCAAAUGAAGCAUGAAGGGAAGAUCUUCGAAAAUAAUAUUGAUUAUUUUGACAAUUUUGAUAAAAGACUAACAGAAAAUUUUUUGUUCAAAGCAGAAAGUUUAAAACAUGCCGAACAAGAAGAAGAAAAAGAAGACAAAAAGACUUCUUCACCCUUAUAUUCAGUCCAAAAACCAAUGACGGAAUCACCGAAGCUUUUGAAUAUGAACUAUUUUGAGAAACAGCAAAAAAUUGCAGAACAUUCCCAUGCUUGGCUUCUUGAUCAUAAAAAGGACGCUAUUAAAAAAAAGAAAGAAAUGGAAUCAUUGAUUCACCGUAAGCAAUUGGAACGUCAACAAACUUUUAAAAACAUGACUGCUAAAACUCGUAAAGGUCAGCCAAAAAUGCAAUCUAUUAUCAAAGCUUAUAUAAAAAAACUUUAAACCUUUGGACUUACUUUAUAUUCUACUUUUGUCAUAAAAAUUGACUCUCGCACUACAACAAGUUCUCUUAAUUCCAACACAUCAUAAUAUCACAAGAAUUAAUUGAGUCUGUAUUUGAGAUUUUAUAUCAGCAUGGUUUACGUAAAGUAGCAUUUUAUAAGAAAAAGAAUUUGUUUUAAAGCACUUAUUUCACUAUUAAAGGAUGAGAGAUUUUUAAAUCUUAUUUUUCAAGCCGGUUCGAAAAGUAUUUAGGUAUCGGUGAAAUGUUGCUUGGAUUUUAGCAUGGAUGAAUGUAAAUUCUAUGACAAGUAUUCCGAAACGACAUGGUGGAACUCAAAACACCCUUUUUGGCCUUUGAAUUUGUAUAAUAAAGUUAGAGUUCCGUUUAUAUGCCAUAGUAUUCGGCAACACCUUUCGAAAAGUAUACAAGAAUGUUACAUACUGGAUGCUGGUUGCGGUGGAGGAUAUUUGGCGGAAACACUUGCGUUGAAAGGCGCAACAGUUCUUGGAAUUGAUACAUCGGCUGGAGCUAUUGAAGUUGCUAAAAAACAUUUUGAAGAACAUGUUUUGACAAAUUCUGCUUCAAAAAUGUCUCCAUGCAAAGAAUUACAAAGAUUAGACUAUAAAAAGUAUGACAUUUUUGAUCUUCUACCACUUAAUAUAUCGUUUGAUGUGAUUGUCGCCUCUGAAGUUAUUGAGCAUAUACGACAACCAGCUAACUUUCUAUCAGCUUGUUCAAAGCUUUUAAAACCAAACGGAUUAUUGAUUUUAACAACCCCGAACCGCAAUUUCCUGUCGUAUUUACUUAUUGUUUUUUUAGGUGAGUACGUUUUAAAACUUCUACCAAAGCAUCUAGGCCGUUCUAAUUUCUUUAUUGUCUAAUUUCUUUUUUAGAAUACGCAUGAAUAUAAAAUGUUUUUUAAGCCGAAGGAAUUACAAAGUCUUGUGCAACGUACGUGUGGGCUGAAAUGUUUGAAUUACACUGGUUCUUUUUACAUUCCGUGGCCCAUCAAUAUGUGGGUACGAGAACCGUUGGGUCUAGUGAAUUAUAUGAUGUGUUUUCAAAAGCCUUUCAAAAAGAUUUAACUUAUGAUAUAAAUUUAAUGUUUAUAAUGUUCACAAUAAAAUUAAAAAAAAAAAAUUUAUUUUUGACACCAUAGUAGGGUAUUUUUUUUUAUUUUUGACAAUUUAAAACACGACUUAACCAGGAAAUAUCCCCACUUUGCCGUAGGGGUAAACGUUUUUCA
RNA transcript from Hylaeus volcanicus, 1847 nucleotides. It is a transcript of the gene named ubiquinone biosynthesis O-methyltransferase-like, with no coding region annotated. The transcript is spliced from 8 exons. Lineage: Eukaryota; Metazoa; Arthropoda; Insecta; Hymenoptera; Colletidae. The record is from RefSeq and is a predicted model, not a curated record.